CAUCCGGUUCUAAUCAGAACCACACAGGAAGCAAAAACAGAAAUU
Molecule: non-coding RNA, 45 nt
Organism: Neotoma lepida (desert woodrat)
Lineage: Eukaryota; Metazoa; Chordata; Mammalia; Rodentia; Cricetidae
Source: Rfam